RNAcentral lists this ribosomal RNA (2925 nucleotides) under Escherichia coli. RNAcentral's name for it is "bacterial LSU rRNA". It matches the Rfam family "Bacterial large subunit ribosomal RNA". Lineage: Bacteria; Pseudomonadati; Pseudomonadota; Gammaproteobacteria; Enterobacterales; Enterobacteriaceae. The record is from RNAcentral.
GGGUUGUGAGGUUAAGCGACUAAGCGUACACGGUGGAUGCCCUGGCAGUCAGAGGCGAUGAAGGACGUGCUAAUCUGCGAUAAGCGUCGGUAAGGUGAUAUGAACCGUUAUAACCGGCGAUUUCCGAAUGGGGAAACCCAGUGUGUUUCGACACACUAUCAUUAACUGAAUCCAUAGGUUAAUGAGGCGAACCGGGGGAACUGAAACAUCUAAGUACCCCGAGGAAAAGAAAUCAACCGAGAUUCCCCCAGUAGCGGCGAGCGAACGGGGAGCAGCCCAGAGCCUGAAUCAGUGUGUGUGUUAGUGGAAGCGUCUGGAAAGGCGCGCGAUACAGGGUGACAGCCCCGUACACAAAAAUGCACAUGCUGUGAGCUCGAUGAGUAGGGCGGGACACGUGGUAUCCUGUCUGAAUAUGGGGGGACCAUCCUCCAAGGCUAAAUACUCCUGACUGACCGAUAGUGAACCAGUACCGUGAGGGAAAGGCGAAAAGAACCCCGGCGAGGGGAGUGAAAAAGAACCUGAAACCGUGUACGUACAAGCAGUGGGAGCACGCUUAGGCGUGUGACUGCGUACCUUUUGUAUAAUGGGUCAGCGACUUAUAUUCUGUAGCAAGGUUAACCGAAUAGGGGAGCCGAAGGGAAACCGAGUCUUAACUGGGCGUUAAGUUGCAGGGUAUAGACCCGAAACCCGGUGAUCUAGCCAUGGGCAGGUUGAAGGUUGGGUAACACUAACUGGAGGACCGAACCGACUAAUGUUGAAAAAUUAGCGGAUGACUUGUGGCUGGGGGUGAAAGGCCAAUCAAACCGGGAGAUAGCUGGUUCUCCCCGAAAGCUAUUUAGGUAGCGCCUCGUGAAUUCAUCUCCGGGGGUAGAGCACUGUUUCGGCAAGGGGGUCAUCCCGACUUACCAACCCGAUGCAAACUGCGAAUACCGGAGAAUGUUAUCACGGGAGACACACGGCGGGUGCUAACGUCCGUCGUGAAGAGGGAAACAACCCAGACCGCCAGCUAAGGUCCCAAAGUCAUGGUUAAGUGGGAAACGAUGUGGGAAGGCCCAGACAGCCAGGAUGUUGGCUUAGAAGCAGCCAUCAUUUAAAGAAAGCGUAAUAGCUCACUGGUCGAGUCGGCCUGCGCGGAAGAUGUAACGGGGCUAAACCAUACACCGAAGCUGCGGCAGCGACGCUGAUGCGUUGUUGGGUAGGGGAGCGUUCUGUAAGCCUGCGAAGGUGUGCUGUGAGGCAUGCUGGAGGUAUCAGAAGUGCGAAUGCUGACAUAAGUAACGAUAAAGCGGGUGAAAAGCCCGCUCGCCGGAAGACCAAGGGUUCCUGUCCAACGUUAAUCGGGGCAGGGUGAGUCGACCCCUAAGGCGAGGCCGAAAGGCGUAGUCGAUGGGAAACAGGUUAAUAUUCCUGUACUUGGUGUUACUGCGAAGGGGGGACGGAGAAGGCUAUGUUGGCCGGGCGACGGUUGUCCCGGUUUAAGCGUGUAGGCUGGUUUUCCAGGCAAAUCCGGAAAAUCAAGGCUGAGGCGUGAUGACGAGGCACUACGGUGCUGAAGCAACAAAUGCCCUGCUUCCAGGAAAAGCCUCUAAGCAUCAGGUAACAUCAAAUCGUACCCCAAACCGACACAGGUGGUCAGGUAGAGAAUACCAAGGCGCUUGAGAGAACUCGGGUGAAGGAACUAGGCAAAAUGGUGCCGUAACUUCGGGAGAAGGCACGCUGAUAUGUAGGUGAAGUCCCUCGCGGAUGGAGCUGAAAUCAGUCGAAGAUACCAGCUGGCUGCAACUGUUUAUUAAAAACACAGCACUGUGCAAACACGAAAGUGGACGUAUACGGUGUGACGCCUGCCCGGUGCCGGAAGGUUAAUUGAUGGGGUCAGCGCAAGCGAAGCUCUUGAUCGAAGCCCCGGUAAACGGCGGCCGUAACUAUAACGGUCCUAAGGUAGCGAAAUUCCUUGUCGGGUAAGUUCCGACCUGCACGAAUGGCGUAAUGAUGGCCAGGCUGUCUCCACCCGAGACUCAGUGAAAUUGAACUCGCUGUGAAGAUGCAGUGUACCCGCGGCAAGACGGAAAGACCCCGUGAACCUUUACUAUAGCUUGACACUGAACAUUGAGCCUUGAUGUGUAGGAUAGGUGGGAGGCUUGGAAGUGUGGACGCCAGUCUGCAUGGAGCCGACCUUGAAAUACCACCCUUUAAUGUUUGAUGUUCUAACGUUGACCCGUAAUCCGGGUUGCGGACAGUGUCUGGUGGGUAGUUUGACUGGGGCGGUCUCCUCCUAAAGAGUAACGGAGGAGCACGAAGGUUGGCUAAUCCUGGUCGGACAUCAGGAGGUUAGUGCAAUGGCAUAAGCCAGCUUGACUGCGAGCGUGACGGCGCGAGCAGGUGCGAAAGCAGGUCAUAGUGAUCCGGUGGUUCUGAAUGGAAGGGCCAUCGCUCAACGGAUAAAAGGUACUCCGGGGAUAACAGGCUGAUACCGCCCAAGAGUUCAUAUCGACGGCGGUGUUUGGCACCUCGAUGUCGGCUCAUCACAUCCUGGGGCUGAAGUAGGUCCCAAGGGUAUGGCUGUUCGCCAUUUAAAGUGGUACGCGAGCUGGGUUUAGAACGUCGUGAGACAGUUCGGUCCCUAUCUGCCGUGGGCGCUGGAGAACUGAGGGGGGCUGCUCCUAGUACGAGAGGACCGGAGUGGACGCAUCACUGGUGUUCGGGUUGUCAUGCCAAUGGCACUGCCCGGUAGCUAAAUGCGGAAGAGAUAAGUGCUGAAAGCAUCUAAGCACGAAACUUGCCCCGAGAUGAGUUCUCCCUGACUCCUUGAGAGUCCUGAAGGAACGUUGAAGACGACGACGUUGAUAGGCCGGGUGUGUAAGCGCAGCGAUGCGUUGAGCUAACCGGUACUAAUGAACCGUGAGGCUUAACCUUACAACGCCGAAG